CCUUCGAUAGCUCAGUUGGUAGAGCGGUGGACUGUAGUUGGUAAUGACGAUCAUAAGAGAUAUCCAUAGGUCGCUGGUUCAAAUCCGGCUCGAAGGA
Molecule: transfer RNA, 97 nt
Filed under: Athalia rosae (coleseed sawfly)
Lineage: Eukaryota; Metazoa; Arthropoda; Insecta; Hymenoptera; Athaliidae
Description: misc RNA ENSAEAG00005005130.1
Rfam family: tRNA
About the family: Transfer RNA (tRNA) molecules are approximately 80 nucleotides in length. Their secondary structure includes four short double-helical elements and three loops (D, anti-codon, and T loops).
Source: RNAcentral